RNAcentral lists this ribosomal RNA (460 nucleotides) under uncultured bacterium. Its description in RNAcentral is "bacterial SSU rRNA". It matches the Rfam family "Bacterial small subunit ribosomal RNA", at positions 29 to 524 of the family's 1533-position model. The record is from RNAcentral.
AACGAACGCUGGCGGCAUGCCUAACACAUGCAAGUCGAACGGGAUCCUGGCUUCGGUCAGGUGAGAGUGGCGGACGGGUGAGUAACGCGUGGGAACCUGCCCAGUGGUGGGGGAUAACUGCGGGAAACUGCAGCUAAUACCGCAUGAGCCCGAGAGGGGAAAGAUUUAUCGCCAUUGGAGGGGCCCGCGUUUGAUUAGGUAGUUGGUGAGGUAACGGCUCACCAAGCCGACGAUCGAUAGCUGGUCUGAGAGGAUGAUCAGCCACACUGGGACUGAGACACGGCCCAGACUCUUACGGGAGGCAGCAGUGGGGAAUCUUGGACAAUGGGCGAAAGCCUGAUCCAGCCAUGCCGCGUGAAUGAUGAAGGCCCUAGGAUUGUAAAAUUCUUUCGACGGGGAAGAUAAUGACGGUACCCGUAGAAGAAGCUCCGGCUAACUUCGUGCCAGCAGCCGCGGUAAU